AAUAUUGGACAAUGGGGGCAACCCUGAUCCAGCCAUGCCGCGUGUGUGAAGAAGGNCUNNGGAUUNUNAAGCACUUUAAGUUGNNNNNAAGGGCUUUAGGCUAAUACCCUGAAGUUUUGACGUUACCAACAGAAUAAGCACCGGCUAACUUCGUCCCAGCAGCUGCGGUAAUACGAAGGGUGCAAGCGUUAAUCGGAAUUACUGGGCGUAAAGCGCGCGUAGGUGGUUUGUUAAGUUGGAAGUGAAAGCCCCGGGCUCAACCUGGGAACUGCUUUCAUAACUGCUGAGCUAGAGUACGGUAGAGGGUAGUGGAAUUUCCUGUGUAGCGGUGAAAUGCGUAGAUAUAGGAAGGAACACCAGUGGCGAAGGCGACUACCUGGACUGAUACUGACACUGAGGUGCGAAAGCGUGGGGAGCAAAC
RNAcentral lists this ribosomal RNA (421 nucleotides) under uncultured bacterium. RNAcentral describes it as "partial 16S ribosomal RNA". It matches the Rfam family "Bacterial small subunit ribosomal RNA", at positions 360 to 773 of the family's 1533-position model. The record is from RNAcentral.